UCAAUCAAAGUUGUACAAUUCAAAGAUUUGAACUAUUUUGCUCUAAGGGGGAAAGAAAAGAAUGGUCAUUUAUUAAAAUCCUGAAAUACAAAAGUAUAAUGAUUGUAAUCUAAUCAUAGACCAUUCUAGCAUUUUCAAAACGACACCGUAUUUGGUCACAGCCAAGGAGAGUUGUAAAUGGGGGUUACAACAGACUUGACUUGAAGAAACUUAUGAAGGGCCUCUAAUCCAAAAUCUCUUCCAAAUCCACUCAUCUUAUAUCCUCCAUAAGGACAAUCGUUAUCAAAUGCAAAGUAACAAUUAAUCCAGAUAAUGCCGGCUCGGAUUGAUCUUGAAACUGUGUUAGCCACAUCCAAGUUCUUGGUAACAAUCCCAGCUGCCAAGCCAUACCUUGUAUUGUUAGCACAUUUAAUUGCCUCAUCGAUAGUCUUGAACUUCAUGAGUGCCAUUACAGGUCCAAAAAUUUCAUCCUUUGCUAUGAGCAUAUCCUCCUUAACAUCGCUGAAAAUGGUGGGAUGGAGAUAAUAUCCCUUGUUUCCUGAAGGCUUACCACCGGUUAACAAGGUGGCUCCUUCUCUUUUCCCAUGCUCAAUGUAAGACAGAAUUUUUUCAAAUUGCCGCUUAUCAACCUGUGGACCAAGCUGAGAUUUAGAAUCAAAAGGAUCUGCAAUUACACAGUUUUUUGCCUUUUCCACCAACUUCUUUACAAGUUCAUCAUAAAUCCCUUCCUGAACAUAAACCCGCGAACUUGCCACACAAAUUUCUCCCUUAUUAUACAGGAUGCCGAAAAGGGCAAGCUCUGCAGCUUUAUCUAUAUCAGCAUCGUCAAAAAUUAGGAGAGGUGAUUUUCCUCCUAAUUCAAGUGAAACUUGUUUCAAAUUGCUUUCUGCUGCAGCCUUCAUUACCAUGUGUCCAACUUCUGUAGACCCAGUAAAACUGACCUUAUCAACAUCCAUAUGAGAGGAAAUGGCAGCUCC
Molecule: unclassified non-coding RNA, 977 nt
Filed under: Hevea brasiliensis (rubber tree)
Lineage: Eukaryota; Viridiplantae; Streptophyta; Magnoliopsida; Malpighiales; Euphorbiaceae
Source: RNAcentral